This 442-nucleotide ribosomal RNA is filed under the name uncultured bacterium. RNAcentral's name for it is "partial 16S ribosomal RNA". It matches the Rfam family "Bacterial small subunit ribosomal RNA", at positions 338 to 795 of the family's 1533-position model. The record is from RNAcentral.
CCUACGGGAGGCAGCAGUGGGGAAUAUUGGGCAAUGGACGCAAGUCUGACCCAGCAACGCCGCGUGAAGGAAGAAGGCUUUCGGGUUGUAAACUUCUUUUAAGGGGGAAGAGCAGAAGACGGUACCCCUUGAAUAAGCCACGGCUAACUACGUGCCAGCAGCCGCGGUAAUACGUAGGUGGCAAGCGUUGUCCGGAUUUACUGGGUGUAAAGGGCGUGCAGCCGGAGAGACAAGUCAGAUGUGAAAUCCACGGGCUCAACCCGUGAACUGCAUUUGAAACUGGUUCCCUUGAGUGUCGGAGAGGUAAUCGGAAUUCCUGGUGUAGCGGUGAAAUGCGUAGAUAUAAGGAAGAACACCAGUGGCGAAGGCAGAUUACUGGACGAUAACUGACGGUGAGGCGCGAAAGCGUGGGGAGCAAACAGGAUUAGAUACCCCUGUAGUC